This 385-nucleotide unclassified non-coding RNA is filed under the name soil metagenome. RNAcentral describes it as "partial contains 5.8S ribosomal RNA, internal transcribed spacer 2, and large subunit ribosomal RNA". The stretch from base 1 to 121 matches the Rfam family "5.8S ribosomal RNA", at positions 35 to 154 of the family's 154-position model. The record is from RNAcentral.
GAUGAAGAACGCAGCGAACGUGCGAAACGUAAUGUGAAUUGCAGAAUUCAGUGAAUCAUCGAAUCUUUGAACGCAUCUUGCGCUCCUUGGUAUUCCGAGGAGCAUGCCUGUUUGAGUGUCGUGAAUAUCUCUCAAUCUUAAACGUUUUUUUUUUUUUUUCGUUUGAAAUUGGACUUGGGCGUUGUCGUUUGUUUGGACGACUCGUCCCUAAAUACAUUAGCGAUCUGCCCCUGAUCACACACAAUGUGAUAAGUUUUUAAGCAUUGUCAUGGUUAGGUUUCGGUGAUGGCUUCUAACCGUCGUUAAGACAAACUCAUAUCAUGUCAUUUGACCUCAAAUCAGGUAGGACUACCCGCUGAACUUAAGCAUAUCAAUAAGCGGAGGA